AAACACCCUUACUCCCCUCUCUCUCCUCCAAACACCCUUACUCCCCCUCUCUCUCCUCCAAACACCCUUACUCCCCCUCUCUCUCCUCCAAACACCCUUACUCCCCCUCUCUCUCCUCCAAACACCCUUACUCCCCCUCUCUCUCCUCCAAACACCAUUACUCCCCCUUCUCUCCUCCAAACACCCUUACUCCCCCUCUCUCUCCUCCAAACACCCUUACUCCCCCUCUCUCUCCUCCAAACACCCUUACUCCCCCUCUCUCUCCUCCAAACACCCUUACUCCCCCUCUCUCUCCUCCAAACACCCUUACUCCCCCUCUCUCUCCUCCAAACACCAUUACUCCCCCUCUCUCUCCUCCAAACACCCUUACUCCCCCUCUCUCUCCUCCAAACACUCUUACUCCCCCUCUCUCUCCUCCAAACACUCUCGCAUGCUAAUCUGAAUAGUUCAAAGUCCACUGCCUCUUAUUAAACGCUGCACUUUUAUGACGUAAGAGGCCUAGGUAUUCGAUAGGAUGGCAAUCUGCACAAAGACAGAGAUCACAAGAUGGUGGAUUGAUAGGUGAGUCGACACUCCAUAUAUGUCUACUGAUUAGGAUUAUGCAGAGAGAGAUGGACCACUGAGAUGGCUGCAGUCUGAGAAGGGUGAAAUAGCAAUGUCAGAUUUGGGAUGAAAUACUAUUGAAAUCUUUAGCAUGCCUGGGGUUUUGCAGAUGGGCGUGGUUUGCAGUUAUGGCCCUAUUUUGUCCAUUAACCCAGGCCAGCUCAAUCAAGCACAGAUAAAGUAUUUGAAAUUAUUUCAAAUAUUAUUUGAGCCUAGGUCUGAUAUAACCAGUGGCCCUGGACACUACUCUUUCCCCUUCACAAGUUGAAUGUGGCAGGCAUUUCCGAAAGGUGACGAUUUGAAAGAAAACCAUAGCAAUUCAAAAAAAAAAUUUUUUUUUUUUUUUUUUUUACAUUUGGAGAUUUGUGUUCAUGGUGAUGGUAGAUGCAAGAAGAAAGAGUUUUGAGUCAAUAUGUGUAAUUUGCUGUUUGUUCCUGGAACCUUGUGUCAAUUAUAUACGUUGUAAG
Molecule: long non-coding RNA, 1070 nt
Organism: Oncorhynchus tshawytscha (Chinook salmon)
Lineage: Eukaryota; Metazoa; Chordata; Actinopteri; Salmoniformes; Salmonidae
Source: Ensembl